Molecule: ribosomal RNA, 450 nt
Filed under: uncultured prokaryote
Description: bacterial SSU rRNA
Rfam family: Bacterial small subunit ribosomal RNA
Source: RNAcentral
UCGGGAAUUUUGGGCAAUGGGGGAAACCCUGACCCAGCAACGCCGCGUGAGGGACGAAGGCCUUCGGGUCGUAAACCUCUGUCGGGAGGGAAGAACGGUCUCCGACCCAAUACGUCGGGGAUUUGACGGUACCUCCAAAGGAAGCACCGGCUAACUCCGUGCCAGCAGCCGCGGUAAUACGGAGGGUGCAAGCGUUGUUCGGAAUUACUGGGCGUAAAGCGCGUGUAGGCGGCUUGGCAAGUCGGGUGUGAAAGCCCGGGGCUCAACCCCGGAACUGCACUCGAAACUGCCUCGCUCGAGUCCCGGAGAGGGUGGUGGAAUUCCCAGUGUAGAGGUGAAAUUCGUAGAUAUUGGGAGGAACACCGGUGGCGAAGGCGACCACCUGGACGGUGACUGACGCUGAGACGCGAAAGCGUGGGGAGCAAACAGGAUUAGAUACCCCCGUAGUCC